CAAUUGGGCCAUCUGAUUUGGUCAAUGUGGCUCAUUUGGGCCUGAGUCAGGAUUAGUCCAAGGUCAAUUCGACCUUCUGUCAGUUGAAUUGGGCUUGAAUUGAGCCUGAUUCAUAAUCAAUUAGGUCUGUUGAGACCAACUCUGGUUAAUUGGGUUCGGACCCAUGUNNNNNNNNNNNNNNNNNNNNNNNNNNNNNNNNNNNNNNNNNNNNNNNNNNNNNNNNNNNNNNNNNNNNNNNNNNNNNNNNNNNUUUAGACUUAGCCCAGUCUAAUUGGGCUUGGGUUAGUCAAAUUUGGCUAAACCCAUUUCAUUUUUUUUCUUCUCUUUUCCUUCUUUUUCUUUUUUUCUUUUCCUUUCCCUUUUUUUUCCUUUUCUUCUCUUCUCUUUUUUUUUCCUUUCUUCUCCUUCCCGAAGCUUCUUCUUCUCCUCCCUUCUUCUCUUUCAUCCCGAUCUCCCCUUCCUCUCUUCUCCGACGAAGGGAGGACGGCGAGCGGAAAGGGGGACGGCGAGCGGAAGGGGGCCAGGCCACGAUCGGCGGCGUCCGCGGCCAGGCUCCGCGGCGUCCCCGGCCGAGCCUGUGACGACGAUGCUCGCGGCCGAAGCCGGCGGCCGCCGCACACGACGACGAGGAUGAGUCCCCUCUUCCUCUCUUCUUUUUCUUCUUCCUUUCUUUCUUUCAUUCUUCUUCUUUUCUUCAACCUCCCUUCACCAACCUCCCAUAUUCUCUCUCUCGCUCCCAAACCNNNNNNNNNNNNNNNNNNNNNNNNNNNNNNNNNNNNNNNNNNNNNNNNNNNNNNNNNNNNNNNNNNNNNNNNNNNNNNNNNAUCCUCAGCCGUGCCUGCGACUGAGCCCACGGCCGCGCCCUUGGCCUACCAACAGCCGACGCCCGCACCGACGGGGAUCGCGGCCGUCGCCGGUGGCCCUCGGUCUGCUAGCAGUCCCUUCCUCCCUUCUUUCUUUAUUUCUUUGUUGUCCCGAAAGAAUCCGAGGGAGAGAAGGCAGGGGGCUUACCUAGCUUCCGGGGAUGAACUGCGGUGCCUCCUGCUCCGAUGUUUCAGCCAUCAUCCUAGAAAGUCCUUGGGGAGGAAGGAGAGCGGUAAGGCUCUUUUAGCUAGGGUGAGGUGUCACCCCCAGCUUUCCCCUGUGAAGGACCUAACACCUGGGCCUUCCUCUGAUCCCCACCUGGCCCUAGUCAAAUCCAUGCAUAAAGCAGGAGGUGGCAGCCAUCAAAUGGGCUGCCAACCAUGGGCCCGAUUAGCCUAUUAGAUGUCAUGGCCCAAUGUUCCAAUAUGGGCCCAAAAAGAAGUAAUUGGGCCCAGUUGAUUUUUGGGCCCAGGUAUUACAUUCUUCCCCCCUUAAAUAAAUUUCGUCCUCGAAAUUAGUCAUACCUUAAGGUUCAGGCUUUAAAAGUAUUCAACAUCGAGUCAUCCUCGAGAUCUCAGUUAGUCUCCCUCUUAAAAUGCUUGCUCAUAAGAUUUUGGCAAAAUCAUGGCAUUCCAAAACUUGAUUCCUUCCAUAUAUGAUAUAGGAGUUCUUUUGAUCUCAUCCAAAAGAAGACUAAUCUUCCCACCUUAGAUUUUAAAUGCUAUAAUCCUUGGCCCAAGAAAUUAAUUGCUCUCGAUUAAAUCCACACAAAGAUCGUAAUCGGCUUAACAGAAAUAGGUGAGACCAUUAGCAUCAAAUACUUUUCAUAAUCUAUUAGCCUUUUUCUUCUCUUAACCUUGCCUACAAUUUAAUGAUCAACCUUUAUCCUAGCAAAACCUCAAACCCUUUUCAAAUAGAUAGAUCGAAAAUAUCAUAGAUAGGAGUAGGGAGUAUUCCAGGUCUAAGCCCAACCAAGGAACCAUCAAUCCGUUAAUACUAAAUUUAAGAUGCUCAAAAUCUCCCAGGAAUUGCCAACAAUAGAAAAAACUCACUAGUGAAAUUAUAUAGCUAUCUCCAGAUUAUUCAGAGAAUCAACAACACUUUUCUCCAUUAGAAAUCUAAGUCAAAUCUUCUAAUAAUUCUCCUUAUCAAUACAACUUUAUCAGUAGAUCUUAUCAAAAGAGUAAGGCCCAUUACUUCGACAUUUAGUUCUUUUAAUAGGUGAUCUAAUUCAAGCUUCUUUUUUUUUUAUUUUGGUGCCAGAACAUCAUUAAUAUUCAUUUAAUUGAUUAUCACAAGAUCAUAAACUACUGCACUUUAUCCAUUGUAGAACAUUUGAGCCUAAAAUAUUCUUUAACAUUGAAAAUUAUUCUCAGAAUUUACUAAAUGACUUCCAAUCAAAAUAUUAAUCUUGCAUUAUAAUUUGCAAAAAUCUAAUAUUUCACUUUCCAACUAAACAAAGGAGAAACUCUUAAUUCUCAUUCUCAGAUAUAUUUUCUUUUUAUAUAAUAGUUUCAUGCAUAAUUGUCAUACAAAUUUCAUCCUCGAAGAAUAUAAAAUCUUUCCUUGUCCAAGUCUUAAACAACUUAUGAAUGAACCCUAUCUUGCUAUCAAAAUAAUUAACUUCAAACUAGAAGUAUUAUCCACCGUACUCAGUAUCAAGUUAAACUUCCAAAAUUACCUAUAUACUGAUACACAAGUAAUCACAAUGUACUUUAACAUUCCAUGGCUAGUACUCUACUUAAUAUCAAUCAAAAUCUAAUUUAAUCAUAAUCCAAAAAAAUACAAAUUACUCCAUCGAGAAAUCUCCAAAAUAAUUUAUUCUUAUUUUGGCAUGGCUUGCUAGCAUUCUGGUUCAAAACACCAAAAUUCUUAAUAUUCUUAAAUCUUAAACUCUGAUAUCAUACCUGUCACAAUCAUGCCCCUGGAAUGGCUUUGUAUUAGCCCUAACUUUUUUCUUUUUGUUGCUCAUUAUCACCUAUCAAAAUAUUUGUGUCAAGCAAUUUUCGUGACUGACCGAUGAUACGACCAAUAAAAUCUUUUCUUUCUUUCCAGUUAUGCGGAAUCUCACUAAAUGAGACUUAACUACCCAUUUCCUUAUUAAAACUUAAAAUUCUUACUCAUGGUUAACCUAUUGCUCUGAUACCACAAGAAUGUCACGCCCCGGACCCGGAUCCGUGACACGGCCAUGUUAUUGCCGACUACCGCCCACAAUAGCACGCAGCCUCAUACAUGGGUAACAGGGUAGUCAAACCAACCUAAUCUUUUUAUAUGAAAGCAUUCUUAGUACAACAUGCUGGUCAGUACCCAAAUACAGAGCUUCUAUGUAGUUUAUGUACACAAAAGUAUACUUGCUUUACCCCAAAAGAAAGAAGCCCUGAUACAAAAUUAAAGUGUCUCUGGCAACUUUCAGUGGUGAGGAUCUGAAGAAAAAAAAUGUAAAUAACGGAUAUGAGCUACACAGCUCGGUAAGUAAUCAUACCUAAUCUUACCGGAUCAAACAUAAUGAUGACUAUGUUUAUGCAGGGUUUGAGAAGCUGACAUGCAUAUUAUCUCAUAAUUUAUCAUGGCAAAAUAUGUAUGCUGGAAAAACAAAGCAGUAUUUUCAGUCAAACAGAAUUUUCAUAAAACAUGCACAUGAAACCGUGCCCCCGGCAUGCCGUAGUCCAUUCUCUCGGAUGCUACUGCGAAGUCCAUUCGGCCACUGGCGGGGCCAGCUAGUCAUUCUCGGCCACUAGCAAGGCCAGCUCAGUUGCAUUCGAUCAGUAGCAUCUUUGAGCCCAUUAUAGUGCCUCUUGGCUAGAUAGUAUUUCAUUAUACCAACUUGCAUGCAUGAUUAAAGUAUCAGCAUAAUCAUGGUGCAUACAUGGCCAUAGUUUAUGAGAUCAUGCAAGUUACUUAUCCAUCAUAACAUAUCAUGCAUGAAUAACACUUUAAAAACUUAACAAACAUAGUAACAUGAUCUACAAUAAGAUUAAAAUAGAUUACAUACUUUCUUCAUAAAUCAUGUAUACAAUUCAAAUUGUAUGAAAAACAUUGGUUCAUCUUAUGAAACGUAAUACAAGAUCUACGAUAAGAUUAAGAUAGAUUACUUACUUCAAUUCGCUUUCCAAAUUUCUCAAGUCCAGGUGACAAAUCCUUAAUCACCUAAAACAACACCAUAGGGAUCACAUUAUUCCCCAUUUAUUUAUUAUAAAAUUUCUUAGUUCAUCAUACUAUGAACUUACUUGCUUGGAUCCCAUCCAAGGAUCUAGCCCAAGUCCAAUUUACCCAAUUUAGAGCCUUUGGGGCUCAAUUUAAAACCAGAUUAGGUCCACAUGGGUUGAUUGGGUUUUUAAUUAAAGGAUUGGGCCUCGUUUAUAAUUGGGUCCAGCCAAUUGGGCCCUCUGAUUUGGUCAAUGUGGCUCUUUUGGGCCUGAGUCAGGAUUAGCCCAAGGUCAAUUCGACCUUCUGUCAGUUGAAUUGGGCUUGAAUUGAGCUUGAUUCACAAUCAAUUAGGUCUGUUGAGACCAACUCUGCUUAAUUGGGUUCGGACCCAUUUCAAUUUAACUUAAAUUAGCUCGGAUUUAACCCAAUUUAUAGUUUAGGCUCGUCCAGACUUAGCCCAAUCUAAUUGAGCUCGGAUUUAGACUUAGCCCAGUC
This 4506-nucleotide long non-coding RNA is filed under the name Phoenix dactylifera (date palm). RNAcentral describes it as "long non-coding RNA (PDAC_LNC002438)". The record is from RNAcentral. Lineage: Eukaryota; Viridiplantae; Streptophyta; Magnoliopsida; Arecales; Arecaceae.